RNAcentral lists this long non-coding RNA (991 nucleotides) under Homo sapiens (human). RNAcentral describes it as "HSALNT0249209". Lineage: Eukaryota; Metazoa; Chordata; Mammalia; Primates; Hominidae. The record is from RNAcentral.
GCUUGAGAUACACCAUCCUGAACCUUGGCCCCUGGCCACAUUCUUUCCUGAUGGGUAGAGGAGGGUAAAGUUAAUACUCACAGGAGUAUUGUAUUUCCAGUUCUUAACUGUGCUGCCUGCAAGCAUGGCACAAGAACUACAUGGGCAAACAAACUACUGAAUUUCAGCAAGGCAGUUUAGCAAAUUCUUUUAUAAAUUUGAAGGAACCUGUGGAUUGGAUGAUUCUGCGUUGUGGCAGCAUUGUCAACUGAUGGACCCACCAGUUCCUGAAUCCUGCUGACUAAUGGAUCAUUGUCAACUUGCUGGAGCUUUGAGGAAGCCUGUGUGAGUAUUGUGGCUGUGCUUCUGUUCCAGUCUUCUUUAUUGAGGGAAAUAUUUGAGAAGAGUCCUUACUGCUUAAAACUAAAGCUUGGGAAUUGCUUGCUUGAGUUAGAUUUACCCAAAAAAGAAAAACGUAAAAAAAGAGACAAAAUGUAAGCAAGCUACACUGAUACACGUCUCGGACACAGCUUCCUCCACCCCAUGCCAGGCUAUGUGCUGCCAUUUGAACGGGUAUCAACUUUCUUGUUGUUUAAAAGGAAAGGGCCCUGGUGGGCUGAUUCUGUGACUCGGUGCACAUAUGGCAGACCCAGUGCUGUCAUAAAGAAUUCAGUGAUCCCAGAACUGAUUUAUUUUAUUUUGUUUUUAAAUCUGAAGACCAGGUUCUUUUGAGGUAUUAAGUUCUGGGCACCAGCGUUUGCAGAUAUAUCACUGCUCAGGGCAGAAAUGCCUUCCUGUGCAGGGAAACCUCCCAAGAAGAGUGAGCCUCCUCUCCUCCUGCUGGUGAGACCAGAGAAGUGUUUCUAACAUUGUUGAAAUGAAGCAAAGUUAUCCUUCUUUUGACCCUGCUGUAGCAUCUGGGGUCAUCUUUUUGUUUACUGUGUAUUUGUUUUUGACCUUCAGAAGGUCCUGGUGGCACAGCCCAACAAAGACUAGAGAAUAAAACAAACAG